GAUAGCCACUGGAAACGGUGAUUAAUACCCCAUAAGACCACGCCAUCGCAUGAUGAAGUGGUAAAAACUGAGGUGGUAUAGGAUGGACUCGCGUCUGAUUAGCUAGUUGGUGAGGUAACGGCUCACCAAGGCGACGAUCAGUAACCGGCCUGAGAGGGUGAACGGUCACACUGGAACUGAGACACGGUCCAGACUCCUACGGGAGGCAGCAGUGGGGAAUAUUGCACAAUGGGGGAAACCCUGAUGCAGCGAUGCCGCGUGAACGAAGAAGGCUUUCGAGUCGUAAAGUUCUGUUCUUAGGGAAGAAAAUGACGGUACCUAAGGAGAAAGCACCGGCUAAAUACGUGCCAGCAGCCGCGGUAAUACGUAUGGUGCAAGCGUUGUCCGGAAUUUCUGGGCGUAAAGAGUUCGUAGGCGGUCAAAUAAGUCAGAAGUGAAAGGCUACGGCUCAACCGUAGUAAGCUUUUGA
This 469-nucleotide ribosomal RNA is filed under the name bacterium. RNAcentral describes it as "bacterial SSU rRNA". It matches the Rfam family "Bacterial small subunit ribosomal RNA", at positions 142 to 630 of the family's 1533-position model. The record is from RNAcentral.